RNAcentral lists this unclassified non-coding RNA (251 nucleotides) under Hevea brasiliensis (rubber tree). The record is from RNAcentral. Lineage: Eukaryota; Viridiplantae; Streptophyta; Magnoliopsida; Malpighiales; Euphorbiaceae.
GGAUCCCGACGAUGGUUUUAAGCCUACCAGUGGUAAAGUACAGGAGCUGAGUUUUAAGAGCAAACCGAAUGUGUGGGCAUACUUCUCUGUCAAGUCUGGCGGUGGCAUUCAUGAAUUUUCAGACUCUCAGUUUGGACAUGUUUUUGCAUUUGGAGAGUCCAGACCCCUGGCCAUUGCAAACAUGGUUCUCGGACUAAAGGAAAUCCAGAUCCGAGGAGAGAUUCGUACUAAUGUUGAUUACACAAUUGAUC